This 493-nucleotide ribosomal RNA is filed under the name uncultured bacterium. Its description in RNAcentral is "bacterial SSU rRNA". It matches the Rfam family "Bacterial small subunit ribosomal RNA", at positions 903 to 1397 of the family's 1533-position model. The record is from RNAcentral.
AAAUGAAUUGACGGGGACCCGCACAAGCAGUGGAGUAUGUGGUUUAAUUCGAAGCAACGCGAAGAACCUUACCAGGGCUUGACAUCCAGAGAAUCCCUAAGAGAUUAGGGAGUGCCGCAAGGAACUCUGAGACAGGUGGUGCAUGGUUGUCGUCAGCUCGUGUCGUGAGAUGUUGGGUUAAGUCCCGCAACGAGCGCAACCCUUACCGUUAGUUGCUACCAUUAAGUUGAGCACUCUAGCGGGACUGCCGGUGACAAAUCGGAGGAAGGUGGGGACGACGUCAAAUCAUCAUGCCCCUUAUGUCCUGGGCUACACACGUACUACAAUGGCCGUUAACAAAGGGAAGCAAAAUCGCGAGGUGGAGCAAAUCCCCAAAAGCGGCCUCAGUUCAGAUUGCAGGCUGAAACCCGCCUGCAUGAAGUCGGAAUUGCUAGUAAUCGCGAAUCAGCAUGUCGCGGUGAAUACGUUCCCGGGUCUUGCACACACCGCCCGU